AACGAACGCUGGCGGCAGGCUUAACACAUGCAAGUCGAGCGCCCCGCAAGGGGAGCGGCAGACGGGUGAGUAACGCGUGGGAAUCUACCGAGCCCUACGGAAUAGCUCCGGGAAACUGGAAUUAAUACCGUAUACGCCCUACGGGGGAAAGAUUUAUCGGGGUUUGAUGAGCCCGCGUUGGAUUAGCUAGUUGGUGGGGUAAAGGCCUACCAAGGCGACGAUCCAUAGCUGGUCUGAGAGGAUGAUCAGCCACAUUGGGACUGAGACACGGCCCAAACUCCUACGGGAGGCAGCAGUGGGGAAUAUUGGACAAUGGGCGCAAGCCUGAUCCAGCCAUGCCGCGUGAGUGAUGAAGGUCUUAGGAUUGUAAAGCUCUUUCACCGGUGAAGAUAAUGACGGUAACCGGAGAAGAAGCCCCGGCUAACUUCGUGCCAGCAGCCGCCGCGG
Molecule: ribosomal RNA, 447 nt
Filed under: uncultured bacterium
Lineage: Bacteria
Description: partial 16S ribosomal RNA
Rfam family: Bacterial small subunit ribosomal RNA
Source: RNAcentral